This 73-nucleotide transfer RNA is filed under the name Stegodyphus mimosarum. It matches the Rfam family "tRNA". Rfam says of the family: Transfer RNA (tRNA) molecules are approximately 80 nucleotides in length. Their secondary structure includes four short double-helical elements and three loops (D, anti-codon, and T loops). Lineage: Eukaryota; Metazoa; Arthropoda; Arachnida; Araneae; Eresidae. The record is from Rfam by way of RNAcentral.
GCCUUUGUGGUGUAAUGGUCAGCAUUCUCGACGCGUAACCGAAAGGUCCGUGGUUCGAUUCCCGGCGAAGGCG